This is a long non-coding RNA of Bos taurus (domestic cattle), 504 nucleotides long. Lineage: Eukaryota; Metazoa; Chordata; Mammalia; Artiodactyla; Bovidae. The record is from Ensembl.
AUGUCAGUGGAGCCGUCUCCUCCACAUAAGCUGGAGAAGCCAGCGGGGGUGCUUGAGCAGAGGAACUGGCACAGACCUGGCGGGCAGGAGGGGCUGGUAAACGCUGCUUCUGUGAAAGCAGGUCAUCGGAGGACCCCACCAUCCCAAACCAGACUGCACACCCUGUCCAGCUUUUGUGGACUCGGCAACGGGACCCAAGGGGUAUUUCUGGAGACCUUCCCAAAGGAGCCAUCCAGCCAGGGUCUUUGCAGAAGUAAUUGAGGAUCUUGAGGUGGGAGCGUCCUCAAGUAUCCUGCUGAGCCCUCAAUCCAAGGACAACUGACCUCGUAGGAGAAAGAGGAGAUUUGGACAGAAGCGGGAAGACAGAGGCGUGAGUCGGGGGCUGUGGACCACAGGGCAGAGAGCGAAGCCACGUGGCUGCAGAUUCUCCCCUGGAUGCGCAAGGGGAGUGUGACCUUCCUGGACUUCUGAUUUCUGGCCUCCAGAAUGGUGAGGUGAUAAACU